RNAcentral lists this ribosomal RNA (484 nucleotides) under uncultured bacterium. RNAcentral describes it as "partial 16S ribosomal RNA". It matches the Rfam family "Bacterial small subunit ribosomal RNA", at positions 29 to 507 of the family's 1533-position model. The record is from RNAcentral.
AUUGAACGCUGGCGGCAUGCUUUACACAUGCAAGUCGAACGGCAGCGCGGGCUUCGGCCUGGCGGCGAGUGGCGAACGGGUGAGUAAUGCAUCGGAACGUGCCCAGUAGUGGGGGAUAGCCCGGCGAAAGCCGGAUUAAUACCGCAUACGACCUGAGGGUGAAAGCGGGGGACCGAAAGGCCUCGCGCUAUUGGAGCGGCCGAUGUCGGAUUAGCUAGUUGGUGGGGUAAAGGCUUACCAAGGCGACGAUCCGUAGCUGGUCUGAGAGGACGACCAGCCACACGGGGACUGAGACACGGCCAAGACUCCUAAGGGAGGCAGCAGUGGGGAAUGUUGGACAAUGGGGGCAACCCUGAUCCAGCCAUGCCGCGUGCGAGAAGAAGGCCUUCGGGUUGUAAACCGCUUUUGUUCGGGAAGAAAUCCUCUGGGCUAAUACCCAGGGGGGAUGACGGUACCGGAAGAAUAAGCACCGGCUAACUACGUG